CCAGACUCCUACGGGAGGCAGCAGUGGGGAAUAUUGCACAAUGGGGGGAACCCUGAUGCAGCGACGCCGCGUGGGUGAAGGAGCACCUCGGUGCGUAAAGCCCUAUCGGCAGGGAAGAAACAGACGGUACCUGACUAAGAAGCCCCGGCUAACUACGUGCCAGCAGCCGCGGUAAUACGUAGGGAGCGAGCGUUGUCCGGAAUUACUGGGUGUAAAGGGAGCGUAGGCGGGGAUGCAAGUUGGAUGUUUAAACUAUCGGCUCAACCGGUAAUUGCAACCAAAACUGCAACUCUUGAGUGAAGUAGAGGCAGGCGGAAUUCCUAGUGUAGCGGUGAAAUGCGUAGAUAUCGGGAGGAACACCAGUGGCGAAGGCGGCCUGCUGGACAUUAACUGACGCUGAGGCGCGAAAGCGUGGGGAGCAAACAGGAUUAGAUACCCGUGUA
RNAcentral lists this ribosomal RNA (443 nucleotides) under uncultured bacterium. RNAcentral's name for it is "partial 16S ribosomal RNA". It matches the Rfam family "Bacterial small subunit ribosomal RNA", at positions 331 to 792 of the family's 1533-position model. The record is from RNAcentral.